UACGAGGGGUGCGAGCGUUAUUCGGAUUUAUUGGGCGUAAAGGGUGCGUAGACGGUUUGUUAAGUCUGCUGUUAAAUUCUCCGACUUAAUCGGAGGUCAGCGGUGGAAACUGGCAAUCUAGAGUGUGGGAGAGAGAAGUGGAAUUCCCGGAGUAGCGGUAAAAUGCACAGAUCUCGGGAGGAACACCAAUGGCGAAGGCAGCUUCUUGGCCCAUAACUGACGUUGAGGCACGAAAGCGUGGGGAGCAAACAGG
RNAcentral lists this ribosomal RNA (253 nucleotides) under uncultured bacterium. RNAcentral describes it as "partial 16S ribosomal RNA". It matches the Rfam family "Bacterial small subunit ribosomal RNA", at positions 524 to 776 of the family's 1533-position model. The record is from RNAcentral.